This 490-nucleotide ribosomal RNA is filed under the name uncultured bacterium. RNAcentral describes it as "partial 16S ribosomal RNA". It matches the Rfam family "Bacterial small subunit ribosomal RNA", at positions 30 to 507 of the family's 1533-position model. The record is from RNAcentral.
AUUGAACGCUGGCGGCAGGCCUAACACAUGCGAGUCGAACGGUAACAGGAAGAAGCUUGCUUCUUUGCUGACGAGUGGCGGACGGGUGAGUAAUGUCUGGGAAACUGCCUGAUGGAGGGGGAUAACUACUGGAAACGGUAGCUAAUACCGCAUAACGUCGCAAGACCAAAGAGGGGGACCUUCGGGCCUCUUGCCAUCGGAUGUGCCCAGAUGGGAUUAGCUAGUAGGUGGGGUAACGGCUCACCUAGGCGACGAUCCCUAGCUGGUCUGAGAGGAUGACCAGCCACACUGGAACUGAGACACGGUCCAGACUCCUGCGGGAGGCAGCAGUGGGGAAUAUUGCACAAUGGGCGCAAGCCUGAUGCAGCCAUGCCGCGUGUAUGAAGAAGGCCUACGGGUUGUAAAGUACUUUCAGCGGGGAGGAAGGGAGUAAAGUUAAUACCUUUGCUCAUUGACGUUACCCGCAGAAGAAGCACCGGCUAACUCCGUG